Molecule: non-coding RNA, 733 nt
Filed under: Bambusiphaga taibaishana
Lineage: Eukaryota; Metazoa; Arthropoda; Insecta; Hemiptera; Delphacidae
Source: RNAcentral
UUGAUAUGGUUUAUAUUAAUAUUUUAAUUUUAUUUAAAUGUUCCAGUAUAUAUUGAUUUAAAAAGUUAAUUUUUUUAUUUUCAGUGUUGAGUAUUAAUCAAAAUAUUUUGGGUAUUUUUAAUUAAUUUAUAAAUUAUAAAAGAGAAUAAUAAUGUGCCAGCAUUCGCGGUUAUACAUUAUCUUUUAAUUUUUAUUAUUAAAGGAAAGAAUAAUAUAAUAUAUAUAUAUAUUUAUUUUUAUGGGGGUAAAAUAAAUUAAAAUAUAAAAAUUUAUAUAAAGUUUCUUUAAAAUUUUGUAUUUAAACUAGGAUUAGAUACCCUAUUAUUCAAAUUUAAUUAAAUCUUUUUAGUAUUUUAAUUACAUAAUAAAUUAAAUUGAUUUGGCGGUUUUUUAAACUUUUUAGAGGAACCUGUAGAUUAAAUUGAUAAACCACGAUUUUUAAAACUUUAAAUUUUCUUGUAUAUCUCUAUAAUGAAUAUAUUUAAAGAUAAAUUUUCUUUUUUUUAAAUUUAAAUUUUAAUUUAGGUCAAGGUGCAGUUAUUUUAAAGUUUUAAUGGGUUACAAUUAUUUUAGUUAGUGGAUAAAAAUUUAAAAUAAAUUUUAAAAUUGGAUUUAAUAGUAAUUUUUUUUUUUAAAAGUUUUGAAUAAUGCUCUGAUUUAUGUACAUAUCGCCCGUCAUUCUCAUUAUUGAGACAAGUCGUAACAAAGUAGAUGUAUUGGAAAAUGUAUCUAG